CAUUCAGUAGCCUCGCUACUUGUUUAUACCCUUGUUUUUUGCGUACUAUUGUUUCCUCGGCGGGCUUGCCUGCCGGUUGGACAAAACUAUAACCUUUUUAAAUCUUCAAUCAGCGUCUGAAUUAUACAUAAUAACUUA
This 138-nucleotide unclassified non-coding RNA is filed under the name soil metagenome. RNAcentral's name for it is "partial internal transcribed spacer 1". The record is from RNAcentral.